This 429-nucleotide long non-coding RNA is filed under the name Fukomys damarensis (Damara mole-rat). RNAcentral describes it as "lncRNA (ENSFDAG00000028711.1)". The record is from RNAcentral. Lineage: Eukaryota; Metazoa; Chordata; Mammalia; Rodentia; Bathyergidae.
GCCUUUGCUUGAAAUUACCUCUGGUUUCCUUGUGCAGCCAGAGGUGUUCAUAAAGUUGGUAAUAUGCUGAAAAGCUUUGGAACUGUUUUCCUCUGCUGGCAAAAUGACAGAGGCUUACAAGUAAAACAUCUUUUCUGCUGUAGGCCUUCCAUGUCUUCCUCUUGAAAGCCUUGGGUUCCCUGCAGCACCCUCCUUAGGCACUGAGCACCAACAGGAGGAAAAGAGCCUGCCCGCUAAGGCUGCUGGGCCCCAGUGUCCAGGGAGGCCUGACCUGGAUGGAGUGAAUCACACCCAGUCUCCCCCAUGGACGUGCCCUGGGGUAAGUGAAAGAAAGCAGAGAAACCAGAGGUGCUCUCCACAGCUUCAUUUCCACACCCUGUGGACACUUCCAGGCCCAACAGUGAACCUUACAAAGUCUGGGCGCCCUUC